Carassius auratus (goldfish) is the source of this 221-nucleotide long non-coding RNA. RefSeq lists it as uncharacterized. NCBI's taxonomy places the organism in Eukaryota, Metazoa, Chordata, Actinopteri, Cypriniformes, Cyprinidae. The record is from RefSeq and is a predicted model, not a curated record. The transcript is spliced from 3 exons.
UAUGAGGAAGUAAACUACAUUAAGAGAGAAAAACGCAAUGAAACCAUGGCCUCUAGAAUGAAUCUCUCUGAAGAACAUGACACACAGAUGAAGACAGUCAAGAGUCUGAUUCAGCGUUUUGAAUCAGAUUUACCUGAACACAUGGAUGUGUCUGUGAGGAAAAACCCAGGGAUGGAUGUUUCAGAUCUCUACAGAGAGGAAGACACUUCUGUUGAGUCCAG